GGAGGGAUAUCCCUUUUGGCAUUGGUUGUUGAAAAGGAGGUGACUCUCUUUGGCAUCGGUUGUUGAAAAGAGAGUAUUAUUCUCUUUGGCAAAUAGUUGUAGAAAAGAGAAUGUUGUUAGAGUGUUGAAUCUUCCUUAGUGAGGGGGAUAAAUGCUUGUGUGAUAGGGGAACAGGUCUGAAGCCAAAUGAAGGAUUACUCGAGUGUAUCUGUAUCGAGAAGCUAUAGAUUGGGCUGCAGAAGCGGCUACAGUCGGUAAGGUAGGGUACAAGAGUGUGAUUGAGUCUUGUCAUGAUGGAGUUUAUGGUUUAGUGAUGCUUGUUAAUGAUAAUUGGUAAACCCAAUAUCGUUCUUCCCAAAGGACUCUUAGGCCUUACUUUUCAUGUAAAAAAAUUGCGUAAGACUUGAGAAAAGAAUUAAGUUGGUGUUUGUAUGCAAAGAACAAAAAUAAACAUGCAAAUGCAGUGAUUCAAUUAGCUUUGAAAAACUAUGGAUGAAUGGUGUUGUUGGGGUUUACAAUUCCAUCUUAUCCGCUCUCACAUAUCUACUCUUCUUAUUUACUUCACUUAUUUAUCCAAUUGCCAUGCAACCUUUCUAGCCUACCCUUAACCCAAUCCCUUAGUGAAAAGAGCCUACUAUUAAUUACCGACUUGCUAUCCCUAGCCUCCCCUGGUAACUAAUAAUGCAAUGCGAACAGAAGCAAAAUACAAUUGAUCGUCCUACCCCUAUCCCUAGGUGGUAUUAGCAUAAUCAAGGAAUUUCUCACCAGUUCAUGACAUUACCGUACGUCCCCGUAUCAAUAAAGACAAACAACUUUUACUGAAUGAGUUAAACAAUAAAAGCAUUAAGCAUAGAUGAGAACCCAACAAUUGAUAAGCAAAUAUAUGACAAGCAUAUGAAAUAAAUAAGAAUUUGAAUAUAUGAGAGUUUCAAAAGAUUACAUUGUUCCCC
This 950-nucleotide long non-coding RNA is filed under the name Vigna radiata. RNAcentral describes it as "long non-coding RNA (VRAD_LNC017547)". The record is from RNAcentral. Lineage: Eukaryota; Viridiplantae; Streptophyta; Magnoliopsida; Fabales; Fabaceae.